AUUGAACGCUGGCGGAAUGCUUUACACAUGCCAGUCGAACGGCAGCACGGGGGCAACCCUGGUGGCGAGUGGCGAACGGGUGAGUAAUACAUCGGAACGCGCCCGGUCGUGGGGGAUAACGUAGCGAAAGUUACGCUAAUACCGCAUACGAUCUGAGGAUGAAAGCGGGGGACCUUCGGGCCUCGCGCGAUCGGAGCGGCCGAUGUCAGAUUAGGUAGUUGGUGGGGUAAAGGCCUACCAAGCCGACGAUCUGUAGCUGGUCUGAGAGGACGACCAGCCACACUGGGACUGAGACACGGCCCAGACUCCUACGGGAGGCAGCAGUGGGGAAUUUUGGACAAUGGGCGCAAGCCUGAUCCAGCCAUUCCGCGUGCAGGACGAAGGCCUUCGGGUUGUAAACUGCUUUUGUAUGGAACGAAAAGGCUCUGGCUAAUACCUGGGGCUCAUGACGGUACCGUAAGAAUAAGCACCGGCUAACUACGUG
This 484-nucleotide ribosomal RNA is filed under the name uncultured bacterium. Its description in RNAcentral is "partial 16S ribosomal RNA". It matches the Rfam family "Bacterial small subunit ribosomal RNA", at positions 30 to 507 of the family's 1533-position model. The record is from RNAcentral.